UUUUGAAUGACAAAAUAUAUUAGAAUUAAUCCAAAGAGAAAGUAAAAUAAGUAUAAGGAGUACUCAAAUAAGAAAAACAAAAACCAGAAGAGAGGAAAAAAAGGCCAACAACCAGGACCAACCACAAAACAAAAAGGAAAUCAAAGUACCAGUCAAAAGUGCAAAAAGGACCUAAUAAACUAACAAACCAGACACAAAUCGAUCCCGAAUCUGCGACGCCACACCUCUUUAAUGAGCCAAACAAAGAACAAGUUUUGUCUCUCUCUCGGAGGAAGUGCAGGAAUGACCAAAGUCCUUCCCCGAGAACCACUUCUAGGAGGUGAAAAUAAUCUUGUCCACUAAUUGCGCAACACUCGUGGUCUUUUUCGCAAUAACCAAAUGGAUCACACAACCAAAUGUAAAACCAAAAUCAAACCUCGUUUAACCCUAGCCCCUAAGCCCGCAAACAUAUGGAGCAAGUAUGGAGGUAACACAAACUCCCACCUUAACCACCCAAGCUUACAACUGAUAAAUAAAUGAGUAGCUAACUCCAAUAUCUCCCCCAAAAUUACACAACAAAUAGCAUUAGAAUCAACAAUAAUCAUCCUCUUUAAAAGAUUUUAGCGGGUAGGAAUUCUAUCUUGAAGUAACUUCCAAGAGAAAACUAUCACCUUCGAAAAGACUCAACUCUUCCAAACCUUAGCCAAGAUUUGGACAUCCUCCUCUACAUGGGGAAUCCCAGCAUGAAAGGCACCACUUCCAAUUAUUCUCCUGUGAAGAAAAAAAAAAUGUGUUCAACAUAACCGCCAGCUCAUCUUCCCAAACAAAUAACUCUCUCCUCCACUUAAGAUCCUGCACCUAACUCUCCCCCACUUAAUGACCCAUAUCACCAACCAUCAAACUCUAUUGCUCUAAGACUUGGAAAAUCUUCUGGAAACGACACCCCAAAUAAACUUAACCCAUUUCUGACGUCCUCGACUACCCCAUUUGAGAACCAAUCAAAGAUAGAGUUAGAGGACGAUCCAAGCAACGAAAUAUCUAUUCACCAAGCCAAAAUCUUCCAAAAGAAUUUAAGAUGCCCACCCAAAUGAGACAAGGGCAAAUGGUCCCUAUACUGGGCAGAAAUAAUAUCCCGCCACAGGCUCGGGACCCAUAGUUUGACAAAUCUAUAACUAUUAAGCAAUUAC
This 1166-nucleotide long non-coding RNA is filed under the name Cicer arietinum (chickpea). Its description in RNAcentral is "long non-coding RNA (CARI_LNC003336)". Lineage: Eukaryota; Viridiplantae; Streptophyta; Magnoliopsida; Fabales; Fabaceae. The record is from RNAcentral.